This 644-nucleotide ribosomal RNA is filed under the name uncultured bacterium. RNAcentral describes it as "bacterial SSU rRNA". It matches the Rfam family "Bacterial small subunit ribosomal RNA", at positions 54 to 745 of the family's 1533-position model. The record is from RNAcentral.
CAUGCAAGUCGAACGAACCUUCGGGUUAGUGGCGGACGGGUGAGUAACGCGUGAGAAUCUGCCCUCAGGAGGGGGAUAACAGUUGGAAACGACUGCUAAUACCCCAUAUGCCGAGAGGUGAAAUGAAUUUCGCCUGGGGAUGAGCUCGCGUCUGAUUAGCUUGUUGGUGGGGUAAUAGCCUACCAAGGCUUCGAUCAGUAGCUGGUCUGAGAGGACGAUCAGCCACACUGGGACUGAGACACGGCCCAGACUCCUACGGGAGGCAGCAGUGGGGAAUUUUCCGCAAUGGGCGAAAGCCUGACGGAGCAACGCCGCGUGAGGGACGGAGGCCUUUGGGCUGUAAACCUCUUUUCUCAAGGAAGAAGAUCUGACGGUACUUGAGGAAUAAGCCACGGCUAAUUCCGUGCCAGCAGCCGCGGCAAUACGGGAGUGGCAAGCGUUAUCCGGAAUUAUUGGGCGUAAAGCGUCCGCAGGCGGCCGUUUAAGUCUGUUGUUAAAUCGUGGAGCUCAACUCCAUCACGGCAAUGGAAACUGUUCGGCUUGGGUAUGGUAGGGGCAGAGGGAAUUUCCGGUGUAGCGGUGAAAUGCGUAGAUAUCGGGAAGAACACCAGUGGCGAAAGCGCUCUGCUGGGCCAUUACUGACG